UCCAGAGUAGCUAAUUGGAGGUAGGAUCUGCCCAGUGCUAGUUAAACGGCUGUGUAAUGCAUCAAAGUAUCUUAAUUUGGGGUCUUGAUUGGAGUCUUGUGAACGAAAUUACCUGAUAAAAGCUUUAUUAUUUAUAUGAUUAAAAAUUGAAAUGGAAGUGAAGAUGCUUUCUUUUUAUAAAAAGACAAAAAGACCCUAUUGAGUUUUAUUUUAUAAUAACGAACAAAAUUUGGUUGGGGCAACUUUGAGACAAAUUAAACUUUCAUUUAUACUUUAAGAUUUUAAUCUAAUAAAAGAUCCCACAGGAAUUUAUAACUAAACUACCAUAGGGAUAACAGAUUAAUAUUUUUUAGAGAGAUCGCAUUGGCAAAAGAGAUUAAUACCUCGAUGUUGGCUUAGGGACGUCGUACAGAUGCAGGAGUUUGUAGUAGAAAGUUUGUUCAACUAUUAAAUCCCUACGUGAUCUG
RNAcentral lists this ribosomal RNA (467 nucleotides) under Laubierpholoe sp. C BCG-2017. RNAcentral's name for it is "partial 16S ribosomal RNA". The stretch from base 151 to 467 matches the Rfam family "Bacterial large subunit ribosomal RNA", at positions 2046 to 2607 of the family's 2925-position model. Lineage: Eukaryota; Metazoa; Annelida; Polychaeta; Phyllodocida; Pholoidae. The record is from RNAcentral.